Small nuclear RNA from Otolemur garnettii (small-eared galago), 107 nucleotides. The record is from Ensembl. NCBI's taxonomy places the organism in Eukaryota, Metazoa, Chordata, Mammalia, Primates, Galagidae.
GUGCUUGCUUUGGCAGUCCAUAUACUAAAAUUGGAACACUACAGAGAAGAUUAACAUGGCCUCUGUGCAAGGGUGACACACAAAGUCGUGAAGCAUUCCAUGUUUUU